This is a long non-coding RNA of Cyprinodon tularosa, 275 nucleotides long. RefSeq lists it as uncharacterized. The record is from RefSeq and is a predicted model, not a curated record. NCBI's taxonomy places the organism in Eukaryota, Metazoa, Chordata, Actinopteri, Cyprinodontiformes, Cyprinodontidae. The transcript has 3 exons.
AACUUUUGUCUGAUUCUGAACAUGAGCUCAAGCUAAUCAGUGUUCAGAGGAAUCAGAGUGGAAACUACAGCUGUCAGGCCUUUAACAGUAAAACCAAAGUAUAUCAAACAUCUCAACUUGCAUCCAUCUCUAUAGUGGAAAACCAACCAAGUCUCUCUGGAGGUGCCAUUGCUGGAAUAGUAAUAGCAUGUUUGUUAGUUGCUGCUGCUGGAGCUACUGGAGGCUUCUUCAUCUAUAAAAAAAAAAAAAAAGCGAAUCCACCAUCAGCUACAGAA